RNAcentral lists this ribosomal RNA (468 nucleotides) under uncultured bacterium. RNAcentral describes it as "partial 16S ribosomal RNA". It matches the Rfam family "Bacterial small subunit ribosomal RNA", at positions 28 to 507 of the family's 1533-position model. The record is from RNAcentral.
GACGAACGCUGGCGGCGUGCUUAACACAUGCAAGUCGAACGGAAAGGCCCUGCUUUUGUUCGUUGCUCGAUUGGCGAACGGGUGAGUAACACGUGAGUAACCUGCCCUUGACUUUGGGAUAACUUCACGAAACUGGGGCUAAUACCGGAUAGGAUCUCCUGCUGCAUGUGGGUGGUUAGAAAGUGUCGGCGGUUGUGGAUGGACUCGCUGCUUAUCAGCUUGUUUGUGGGGUAGUGGCUUACCAAGGCUUUGAAGGGUAGCCGGCCUGGGAGGGUGACCGGCCACAUUGGGACUGAGGUACGGCGCAGACUGCUACGGGAGGCAGAAGGGGGGAAUCUUGCACAAUGGGCGGAAGCCUGAUGCAACAGCGCCGCGUGCGGGAUGCCGGGCUUCGGGUUGUAAACAGCUUUCGAAUGUGACGAAGCGUGAGUGACGGUAAUGGGUAAAGAAGCAACGGCUAACUACGUG